Magnolia sinica is the source of this 605-nucleotide long non-coding RNA. RefSeq lists it as uncharacterized. The transcript is spliced from 2 exons. NCBI's taxonomy places the organism in Eukaryota, Viridiplantae, Streptophyta, Magnoliopsida, Magnoliales, Magnoliaceae. The record is from RefSeq and is a predicted model, not a curated record.
UAUAUGACUUACAUGUUCAUGGAAAAUAUCUCGAUUUUUCUUCUCCCUUUUUUGUUCUCUCUUUUCAGGCGGUUUUCCUUCUGUUUCUUGUUGCAUAAGAGAUGUUUCUUAGAGUAAAAAUGAAUACAUGCAACUUGAUCUUCAAAAUUACCAACAUCUUCCUUCCUAAUUGCCUCUUGCCUGCCCCUGACCAAAGUUGAUCAUUUGAGUUUAUGACUAACUGCAACCUGACAGUGCCUGGAAAGACCAUUGUCAAGGAAGUUAUGUUUUAGACAAAAGGCUUGAUCCACUGUCCAGUAUCAUUUAUAAAAUGGCAUCAACCCUAUAGUUGCCCGCCUCAUGGAUGACCAAUCGACAACAAAUGCAGUGACCGGUUCUUUUAUAGCCAUUCAAUUGAUAGCUUUUUUUUUUUUUUUUUUUCUGGACAACUUAACGAUCUUUUCUGUCCAAAACAGGUGAUGGAUCUGAUAUCUUUGGUUCACCAAAGAGGUAAUGCUAAUUGGACGGCCUGGAUCCAUUGCUAAAAUGCAACAAUCCAUGGUUUGUGGUGUUAAUAGCCAUUUACGAGAUUGUACUUGUUUGGACAGCAGUUGCAAUUAUUAUUA